GCCGGGGCGCAGCCGGGGCCGGGGCGCAGCCGGGGCCGGGGCGCAGCCGGGGCCGGGGCGCAGCCGGGGCCGGGGCUGCUCCCCGCGCUGGGCCCUGCCGCUCUGCUCGGGGACGGUGGGCAUAGCGGCGUUGGCGCGCUCGGGGACUGCGAGCUAACCUGAGAGUGCAGAAAGACUUGCGUGGGCUGCAGGGUGGAACUAGAAGGCUUUCCGCAUCCUUUCGUUUUGCUUUGGUCUUAUGCCAAUGGCACUCAAGUCACGGGAGGUUUGCCUCCAUCCCGUCUUCUGGACAGCUGUGUCCAGGUCGGGGCUCCUCGGGACAAGAGAGGCAAGGAGCUACUGGAGUCAGCCGAGUGGAGGAGCACAAAGAUGAUUUGGGGCCUGGAGCAUUUCUCUUGUGGGGGCGGACUGCGGACCUGGGCCUGUUCAGUCCAGAGAUGACUGAGAGGAGCUCUCCUUAAUGCAUAUAAAUAUCCCUAAGGUGGAUGCCAACGCCGUGGUGCCAGUCUCUUUUCAGUGGUGUCCAGAAACAGAAUAAGGAGCAUAAACUAAACCACAAGAAUUCCACUGAAACAUGAUGAAGAACUUCUUUAGGUGUGGCAGAGCACUGGAACAGGCUGCCAAGUGAGGCUGUGUCAUCUGCUCCAGGUCACCAUGGCUUGACGGGGUGGUUGGAGUAGAUAAUCUCCAAAGGCCCCUUCCACUUCUAAUGACUCUGUGAUUCCCUGUUUAUCAGAAAGCCUGCAGUAGGAUCCUCUGUCUUUCUUCACCUAGCUGCCAUCCUCUCCCCUAGUACCUGUCCUUUUUCACAGUAACUGCACGGUCAACCCUCGCCUUCAUGCCCCGCACAGGAAAUCUUCCACCUUUGGCUUGGCUUUCCCCCUUCAGCUCACACAGAGAUUCUGUGCAGCAUCCUGAGAGGCCUUCAGAUUUCACCGGGAACUGAUGGCAGAAGGGGAAAUCACCUAGAAGGUCUGAACCUGCUGGAGGAAUUGGGACAGAUGGUUUUACUGACUUCAACAGAAAUGAAAGUGAGCCCUGAGCAGAUGCAGUAGUCUGUGUGUUAAUACAGUGGUGGUUGUUGGUUCACUUCACUGCAGUUCACAGUGUCACAGGGCUGCAGAUCCAGCACGACUGAGGCAUGAGCAGGCUAAAGGGGCCAAGGGCUGUGUGAACACUUUGCGACUGUAUCAUCUUCUGUACCACCUGCUUUCCCAUGGUUGACAUCCUGCACGGAUGGAAAUGGUAGUGCUUUACUAAGGUAUUCCGUUAUGCUUUUCCUUCAUUCUCCCUGCAGCCACUCUGCCCUAAUGACCAAGGCAUGGCUUGACUGCCAUAGCUGCAUGCCCAGACCGUGAGCCUCAUGCCUGUGGUGUCCUCCAUGGAAGUGAGCCAUCGUGUCUGUGUGUAGAGAGCUACCACUUUCAGCUGUGUUCACGAAUACCUGCAGGAGAAAACCCUGGGCAUCAUGAUUUAGCCAUCUUCCCGUUGAGUGUUUGUUUGGUUUUGGUUGGUUUUUCUUGUUUGUUUGUUUGUUUUGUUUGUUUGUUUUUCUUCCAUUAUGUAAUAAGGGAACUGGAGCUAUGGGCUUUUUCUGUAUCAGGAGGGUCAGUUUACCUCCUGGAAGGUUUUUUUUUUAGCAUGAGGGGCAAAAAGCACUUGAACAGAUGCUACAGAAGGUGGAAGGCUCGAGCACUGCGUUUCUGCGGUGUUGCCGGUGUCCGUGUGGUGGCCCCGCAUCUCGCCCCCUCUCACUCUGGGUGCUGAGCAGGGGAGCACGGGUUUAUCGUGGGCUGAGCACCCUUAUAUCUGUGCUUGCAGUCCUGUGCUCUGCUCUCUACGCUGCAGAAACCCCACGGUCCUGGCGACAGGCGGGAAGACACCCCCUGCUCUCCCAAAUGCCCUUCCCUCCGAUGCUGCAGCAUUCACCCGGAGCUAGCUCCUGACGCAGCAACUACUCGCAGGAGAACGCGGAGCGCCCUGCUCUUUCAGGAACUUCUCCUUUCAUGUCGGAGUUGUGCCCACCGGCCUUUCCACCUGCGCAGCCCCGCCGUGUCCCGCCGCAGCGCCGCCCGCCCGGCCGCCGCCGCUGCCCGAGCGCUCAGCGCGCUCCGCCAACGCCACCCCCCGCCCGCCGCGCCUCCGGGCCGGCCCGCGGCGGGGCGAGGCGGCCGCGGCCCACGCAGGGCACCGGGAAAUGCAGCCCCGCGGGGGGAGGCGGCGAGCAAGGGCCCAGGGAGCAGUGUCAGCUGGGCCCUGAGUGUCCUGGAGACAGGGAGAUGAUCUUUCAGGCCAGCAGUCGGCUCUGGAAACACCGUGUGUCCUCCAUGGGACAGACCCAACGUGGUUGCUGCCCUCCUUCAAGCCUCCCGUGUUUUUGAGUGACAUUUCACAUUUUAUCAUCACUCCUCUUAGAGCACUUCUUUUAAUGAAUGUGUAUCCAUAUAAAUAUAGAAAUAGGUAGAAAAAGGAAAAUAUUAAGGGAGUUAAACUAAGGAAAACUGCUUUUGCAAGAUCACAUGGCACACAUGGGUCAUAGUUCACUGGUAUUCCCAUCCCAUGGUCUGCAUGAUAUUGUUUCCCCAUUCAUUAACAAAUGUGCACACUAGUGAAUACAGCUGUUAUUUCAACAUACUAAGAAGAUCUUUUUUAGCAGAAGAACCAUUUUAUUUAAAAUACUUACUUUAAGCUCACUAUUAUUUGAUUUGAAUAUUAAACAACAUUUAGAUAUCUAAUAACAAAUGUUUAGGACACUCAUGAGUAUACUAUUAGUAAAAGCAAUUCCCAAAUUUGGCAGAAAAAGUAAGAAUUUAUUAGAAAUUAAUAAGGCAUGUGAAGAAGAGUUGAGGCGAAUUUUUCUAAGUUUUGUUUUAAUUUCUUAUUAAAUAAUUACAUAGUUGCAUUAAAUAAUAAUAAUUAAAUUGGCUGGAACUCUACAACUCAUAACUUUUUUUUUUUAAUUGCAUACCAGCAAAGAACAUUGCUUCUCAACUUCAAACUUUUUCCUCUUUGCAACUUUGAAAGGUUUCUACUUUUUAUGGUAGCAGUGAAGAUAGAAAGAUGUAGUAGGAAAACCACUGUAUAUACAAGUUGAUCAAUUCUGGUGAAUAAUAAUAAUGGCGAAUAAUGAAUACCCUCUGGAUUUCAAACGGAUUGGUUUUCUUUUUCUCUCAAGAAUUUGGACUCCAUUCAAGUUAUUUGCCAAAACCCCUUUUCUGAUUUGGAGGGUGAGAUUUAUGAACGUGGCUGCAGAGCCUCUGUACUUGAAGCUAGUGGAAGAAUGUUACCUACCACAGGACUUUGAAACAUUCUUGGUUUAUAAUCAGUGCCUUAUUUUGAAGAAUUCUUUUUUAUAGUGGAGUUCACUGAUAAAUAUUGCUGGAAAAAUAAAUCGAAUGGAAAACAGCACAUUUUUUGGGAGAACGUGGAGCACCAUUUUCUUUCAGGAACUAUCCCUUUAAUGACUAGUCUUAAUGACUCUGUGUGACCAGUCUUGCUAAAUUAUAUUAUAACCAGUCUGUCUUGCAUCCUAGAUGAAAUUUGCAUGGUUUACAGUCUCUUAGGUAAAAUGCAGAAAUGUUUGGGUUUUUUUUUUUAGAAAAGUGUUGCUUUUGCUUGUUCAGAAUUGUUAUGUGUCAAGUUGAAGGGCAACUAAGAAUGCUGAACUGGUUUUAUAGGAGUGUCAAAAUAGGGAUAAGGCCAGGGCAGAGGAGGCAAAUGAGGGAGUGUUUCUUUCUGUUGGAUAUACUCCUUGAGCAGUCACACUAGGACUGUUCUGCCAGGGACAGGUGAUGUUCGUUCCUUGGGCUCCCAGUGCAGGUUAUUUUGUAGGGACUCACAGAACAGACCUAAGUAAUUUUUGAUGCUGAAGCCACCUGAGAGACUUUCAACAGCGUUUUAAGGGCCUGUUCAACUCGAUUGGCUUUGUAAAUUGCAAAAGCUUUCCUUUAUUGUUAAAUGUGUCAUGUUCACUGUGGUAAAGUAAAACACUGAUCAAGUUCAUGUGUUUAAACAGAAUUCUCUCUAUUUUAAGUAGAAUUCUCUGGAUCUUUAAGCUUUCAGUCUUGAAGCAGAAUGUCCCUGUCCCUUCCUUUGAUCUCUGAUCCAGAUGGAAGUUGAUGGUAUCAUUCUCCCCUUUAACCCUUCUUUUAAAUGUAAAAAGAUGCUAUCAGGUGGGUUAAGCAGAUGUUGCUCAGUGUUUAUGGAAAGCUUUUGUAUUUUAUGACCUGCCUGGCAAUUGUCUGAGAAGAUGACAUCUUCUUUGACACUCAGUAUGAGGUUCUGCACGUCCUGAACUGAACUUUGCUUGAAACCGAGUAGGGGGCAUCUCCCCAGACGACCACCAGGGACCACUAGAGACCCCCGAAGAGGCCUACGCAGGGGCAGUGCACACCAGUGACACAUACUGCAUAAGGUUGCACAAGUUAAGCAAUUGAGCAGUAGUCGGGGAGUAACCACGGCAGGUUUAUGUAGAAUUCAAUGUGUGAAUUCUCUCACAUUUUAAUCCUUGGUAGGCUUGAUUUGUGGAAAAUCUCUACCUUGGAUCUCGGGCCAAAUAAACAAUUUCUCCUUUCCAAACCCUUUGUCCGUGUUUAGACAGUUCUGAAAGUUGGCAACAAAUGCAGUAAAUUGAUUUACAGUUCAGAAGCCUUUGCAGAAGAAUUAAUUUUUUGGAGGUGCUGCCCAAGAGGAGAAGAAAUUGAGUGGAUCCCAGGAGGAAGGAGCAGAUGGAGCCAAGGUUAAGAGAGGCUCUGCUGCAGCCGAGCCAUCUGGUCCUGUCGCAGAGACUUUCCGAGUUAUUCAGGGGGCAAUGACUGAAGAGUAUGUGAGAAGCACUCAGGGUGUCUUCCAGUUUGAGCUCUCUGGUGAUGGUGGAGGCACUUGGUACAUUGACCUGAAGACCGAGGGUGGGAGCGCUGGCUUCGGAAAGCCUCCCGUGGCAGCUGAUGUGGUUAUGAGCAUGUCGAGCGCCGACUUUGUGAAAAUGUUCACAGGUGAGGGACAAAGGCCUUUGUCAAGGGACGCGGGUGCCGGGCCCAGAAAAGCCUCUGCAGACGGGGGCGUAGAGUGGCCUCUCGCUUGCUGACCUGGGACUGGAGGAGCUUUGUGUGGCUCAAGGGAAAGUGCAGGCAAGGAGUGCUUGGAUUUUUCUGCGCUCCUGUGUCCUGUGAACAGCAAGAGUGCAAAAGGUUCCACUGCUCUCAUUAACCAGGUAGUGACACUUGAGCAGCCAGUGCAUCUUCAGAAAGAAUCCUGUCAAUGUGUUGGACUUGUGCUCUGCGCAUGUCUGAGCACAUCUGAGUGUUUCCUAAAUGUGCAUUGCUUUUAC
Molecule: RNA transcript, 5329 nt
Organism: Prinia subflava (tawny-flanked prinia)
Lineage: Eukaryota; Metazoa; Chordata; Aves; Passeriformes; Cisticolidae
Gene name: hydroxysteroid dehydrogenase-like protein 2
Exons: 3
Source: RefSeq, a predicted model, not a curated record